GUAAGGAAUAUUGGACAAUGGACGCAAGUCUGAUCCAGCCAAGCCGCGUGAAGGAUUAAGGUCCUCUGGAUUGUAAACUUCUUUUAUAAGGGACGAAAAAAGGCUUUUCUAAGUCGUCUGACGGUACCUUAUGAAUAAGCACCGGCUAACUCCGUGCCAGCAGCCGCGGUAAUACGGAGGGUGCAAGCGUUAUCCGGAUUCACUGGGUUUAAAGGGUGCGUAGGCGAGCAGGUAAGUCAGUGGUGAAAUCCUAGAGCUUAACUCUAGAACUGCCAUUGAUACUAUCUGUCUUGAAUAUUGUGGAGGUAAGCGGAAUAUGUCAUGUAGCGGUGAAAUGCUUAGAUAUGACAUAGAACACCUAUUGCGAAGGCAGCUUACUACGCAUAUAUUGACGCUGAGGCACGAAAGCGUGGGGAUCAAACAGGAUUAGAUACCCCAGUAGUCC
This 445-nucleotide ribosomal RNA is filed under the name uncultured bacterium. RNAcentral's name for it is "partial 16S ribosomal RNA". It matches the Rfam family "Bacterial small subunit ribosomal RNA", at positions 354 to 796 of the family's 1533-position model. The record is from RNAcentral.